CCGCCGGCGCCGGUGAACCCCGCCGCCUGGAUUUCCUCUUCGGAUCGGCGAGGCGCGUCCUCUGGACGCCCGGCUCCGUGAACCGGCGGUGGAAAUACUGGCGACUGCAGUCUCGGGAGCCGGGCUGGUGCGCCCGCCGCCGCCGCCUGUAUCUGCCUCAGGCGGCCGGGCACAGAGCGAAGGCGCGGAGAGGAAGAGGAGGCGGCGGCAGAGGAGGCGCGGGAGGAGGAGGUGGAGGAGGAGAAGAGUCCAAAGCCAGGCGGAGAACCAAAGUGUAUUAAAGGAGCUGCGGCGGGGGCGGGCGGGCAGGGCAGGGGAGGGCGGGCGGGAGGAGGGAGCGGAGGGAGGUGUGGGGAGCGGAGGAGAGGGGGGCCGCCGGAGGGCGAGCUCAGCGCCGCGGCCCCCACCCCUGCGCGCCCCCGCGCGCGCACGCACGCACGCACUCACUCGCUAGCUGCCUUGUACUGCCGGCGGACCAGGAGCCUGGCUGAGAUCAGCGGCAUCCGCCGAAUGAAGUCAACGCGGCUGCGGGGCCACAGUGCCCUAGGGCAGUGGCUGUGCGCACACAAGCUGGCAGGGAGCGGACAGCAACAAGCUCCGCCAGCCCCAGAGCCUGGCGCACCCGCCGCUCCACCUGAUCUCCGCAGGGGCGCUGGGCAGCCGGGAGGAGGAGGCUAGGCGUCGAGUCCACGGCGCUCUCGGGUGGCCGCUCCCUCCCCAGAGGCCUUGCUCACGCCGCCCAGAGCGCUGCCGGUAUUGUUCGGCUUCGCGGUUGCUGCGGGGGUUUAGCCCUCUUGGCCCUCCGAGCUUGGCAUUGGCGACGCCCGGAGUAGUAAACUUGCAGCGGUCACGAAUUCCCCUAGAUGAAGGAAACGGGCGCGUCGUCCCCUCUUUCUUUAAGUUGGGCUGGAGGAGGAGGGAGGGGGAGGAGCAGGGGAGGGGGGGACUGUGGGAGGGGAGAAGGCGAGGAGGGGGAGGGGAGCAGGGUGAGGCUAGUCUGAAAAACAAUAACAACAAUAAAAAAGUGUUCUCUGGUUCUCCCCCUUCCUCCAGCCGAUCUGUUCUGGGCGCUAGUCCGGGAAUGAGUGCUCGCAUCAGCGAGGACAGAGCGAAGUCCUCAGCACAAGCAAAUGCUAGGAGGCCAACACGAGUUCUUCCUCUCUCGCGGCUGCAGUGGGCAGCCUUCGCCACCGCCUCUGUUUAUUUCGGCCUGAGAACUGCUUUUAUUAAUAAAUCUCUGGAAACUGAGAUAAAAUUCGCGCAAGAGAAUAACAACAUACUUCGAAAUUUAUAUUGAAAUGAAAUCACCAAAAACGCUGGAAGAAGACUCUUGUUGAGAUUUGCUGCAAUGAAUAUGAGCUCCUGCCUGAUCAAACAACCUCUCAAACCUUAGGUGGGUCUGGCUCAACUGUUGGAGCCAACCUUUCUACCAAGGCUCCCUCUGUUUCCUCCGUGUUUCCCAUUCCUUGGUAAGGGGGACGGGAGAAAUGACCACAAGAAAAAGGCAUCUUGACCGAAAUCAUGAGCUUUCCUAGAAGCUGGAGAGAGGAAAUGGUCCUCUUUCCUCCCAUUCCCCUACCUCAAAGGGCAGAAGCUACACUGGCCUGCUAGACCGCAGGGGGAGGGGAGGGGGGAGAGAUGGAAAAUAUCUAACCAGAAAGGCUUCAAUCCAUUUAUUUUAAAAGCCUGCCUAAUUCAGUCUUUCACAUUUGCUUGCCUUAUUUAGCAAUUUAUACUGAAAAGUGCAUGUAUUGGUUUGCUCUAAAAAUACUACCACUCCCAUUUUUUUUUUAACCUAAGAUUGGUUGUGAGAAUAACAGCCUUGCUCACCCAAAGACCUUAUUUCCUUCUUUCAAGCCCUCACACUUGUAGGUUUUCCUCUUCUACCACUUCCUCAUCCCCCUCCCCACUCCUCCUUUCCUCUCUUUUUUGACCUAUUCUCUCCUUUCGCUUUGAUUUCUUCUUUGCUGAGCCCGCAAUUCAGGAUGGCGCGGCUGGGCGCUGGAUUCGAGGGCCGAGCGUUAGGGCAGAUGCCUUAAUUCCCGCCGGAGAGCUCGCCGGCUGGGCCCUCCUGGCUAUUCUUUCCCAGCUCCAGUUCUCCUCUCACUGCAGGAAACAGAGGAGCUGAACCAAGUUCAAAGUCAUGUCUCGGUCCCCUCUUUCAGAAGUGUUUUAUUUCUCUGCAAACCAGAAGAAGAAGAAGAAGAAAAAAAAAAAAAAAAAAAACCUUUUCCUUCUUGACAGUUUUUUUUUUUUUAAGGAAGGAGAGGAAAAAGCGAGGGCAAGAACAAGUGUGUGUGUGUGUGUGUGUGUGUGUGUGUGUGUGCCUGUGUGUGCGCGCGCGCGCGUGUGUGUGUGUGCGCGCGCGCGCUUGCGAGAACGCGCAAAGGCUUUCAGGACUAUUGCCUCAAAAGUAGACUCAGGUUCCUUAGCGGAAGGAAGGAAGAAAGGAAGAAAGGAAGGACAGAAGGAAGGAGUGAAGGCAGGCAGACACUGAGCAAAUUCAUUUUUUCAACAGGUUUCUAGAAAGGCUGCUCUGUCAAACUUCCCAAACCGGUAACUGUCAACGCUUGGAAGCCAGUUCUUUCUUUGUUAAGUUUCCCCAAAUUGUUCUUUUCAAACAGGGCAAAACCUGCACUGGGCAAAACCUCAGCUUGUGGCUGAGAAGGAUAUCCGCCACAGGGCUCCUGGCAAGGUUACAUUUCCCGGCGAGUGAAGAGAACCAAGGCUUGAUCAAAAAUUCGUGGUGUGUUUACAAAAAGAAAAAUAAGGGAUGAGGUGAAGCAAAUCCCACAAACAUCCCAGCAAUCAUGAGCAACUCCUUUUGAAUGGUGUCUACUGUGAUCUCUUAUAGCGUGAUGUGCACAUCCAUACAGAAGAAUAAAUGCAUUGCACUUCACCCA
This is a long non-coding RNA of Mus spicilegus (steppe mouse), 2903 nucleotides long. Lineage: Eukaryota; Metazoa; Chordata; Mammalia; Rodentia; Muridae. The record is from Ensembl.